CGCGUAGGCGGUUAUUUAAGUGAGAUGUGAAAUCCCUGGGCUUAACCUAGGAACUGCAUCUCAUACUGGAUAGCUAGAGUAUUGUAGAGGGUAGUGGAAUUUCCGGUGUAGCGGUGAAAUGCGUAGAGAUCGGAAGGAACACCAGUGGCGAAGGCGGCUACCUGGACAAAUACUGACGCUGGGGCGCGAAAGCGUGGGGAGCAAACA
This 207-nucleotide ribosomal RNA is filed under the name uncultured bacterium. RNAcentral's name for it is "partial 16S ribosomal RNA". It matches the Rfam family "Bacterial small subunit ribosomal RNA", at positions 568 to 774 of the family's 1533-position model. The record is from RNAcentral.